GGGAGCAAGCCUGACAGCUGGAAGAGGUGCUGCUCCCAGGACUGAGCUAAGGCUGCAUAUUUGCAGCCGGAGUGGAAAGGGAAAAUGGCUUUCAGCAACCACACAAAUGGCAGUUCGAUCAUGCCGAAAUUAUUCCAUAUGUAUGUGGAGCAAAAGAAGACCCUUCGAUUCAACAACCACAGCAACCCAGCCUUGGAGAUGCAGGAGGAGAUAAUGGCAUCUUUCUAUAUCCUCAUCAUUGUUGGGUUUUUUGGCUUUCUUCUGUUUGUCAUGAUGCUCAGCAACAUUGUUUCCAGCAAGCCUGAAAACUACAUUGACUAUCUCUAUUCUGGAAAGCUUAAUCCUCAGAGAAGCAGGGUGGAGCUUUCGGGAAAGGAGAGCAAAGACACUUUUGUUAUCAUCAACAGUGCUGCCUUAAUGGAUCUGCAAAAGCAGGACAUCAAGUAUAUCACCGGACUGGAGGCACCGAGCACAGACGCAGUUCUGAGGAAUGUAUGAAACUUCUUUUGUAUUAUUACUAUUCUGUUGCGUGUAAGGAGCUCCAAUAGGGAUAUUUUUUCAUUUAUGAAAGUGAGAAAGGAGGAGCUGUGCCAGGGCAGAUGCAGCCUGGUCUUGUGCAAGCUUCCCGCAUGAUAACUGUGAAGGUUCCCAAGCACAAUGAGCAACCUGUGCUAUUUCAGCCCCGGUCCUUUGGAGGACAGGCUAGGAAUCAAGUCCUUACUGGCCUACUUCCUUCAUGGCUGCAUUUAUUGCGUGCUUUUCUAACUUCCCGCUCUGGAAAAUGGAAGACUUGCUUCAAGCAGGGCAUUGUUUCUAGUUGGGGCAUUGCUGUUGUGCCUGUUUGCUGUUAUUAAGGAUUUAUUUAUUUGGGAAGUUGGAGCUAUCACUGAGCCCAUUGGGUUUGUGCUCUGCAAGCAGAGAGAGCUGCAACAGCCUCUGCGUCCACCCUCACCAUCAUGCUGAGCAGCCAUGGAGCUAAGCCCAUGAUCAGCCUUCUCAAAAGGGAGAUUACUUCAAGGGCCUGGAGGCACACACAAAACUUGAACUUAUUUGCUUGCUUGGCAGGCUUGGUCUGCAGUGGGGUUUUUGACAUUGGUCAUGCAUUUCUUAGCAGCGCUCUUCCCGCACACUGAACCUCUCCCAUAGCCCAGGACAAUGAGGUGGUCUGAGGCAUCCUGAUGUCUCCCCAAAGCCUCUCAAAGGACUUACCUGUCCACCACCAGGACUUAAGAGCCACAGCCUUUGGGCUGUGCUGCUGUUGCAUCAGUAAUCCCAGACUGAUUCCUUCAGUCUAGUGCUAAUCCCUUCAACAUGAAACCCCACUAGCCCCCAGCCUCUGCUGCUUCCUUUGGUGGUAGCCAGUAAGCAGGAGCCUGGCAUGGCAGCUUGAGGGUGCUUUCUGCUUUGAUGCUGGUAACCACGCCUCAGUAGGCACAAGAAGAUGCAGUUUGCUCACCACACAGAUCAGGGGUGUUCAUCCCAAGUCCUGCAGAGCCCUGGCACACAGGUGCUGAGGACAGUCGUUUUGGGGAGGCACUCAUCAGCAGUGGACUUGAGCUCGCAAAUACCGGUCCUUGCAUUCAUUGGAAAAGUCUCAGGAAUCUGGAAACUAUUGGUGAAAGUACACUGAGAACAUGAGGGCAUUUUGAAGCAAAGAUCCUACUAGGUCCUUCAAAAUUAUAUGCUUGUGGGGUGAUGUUGCUGGUUCCAUUCAGACACCUUUGUGUUUCUGUGUGUUUUUACUUUCUGUUAUUGAUAGGAAGAAAGUUCUCAACAAUCUGAUACUUUAAAAAGCAUUCCUUUCCUUUUCUCCUGUAAUUUUUCUUCAACAGGCUGUUACUAAAUCCAUAGCUUCGUGUUUGCUGGUUUUUUUUUUUAAUCAUUUUCUGCCACAAUGUACUGUUAUUAUUGUGAGUUUUUGCCACUUCUUGCCUGGAAAUAAUUUACUUCAUGUGGCCCAUAUCCUAAAAGGGAAUUUCCACAGCCUGAUCUUGUAAGACACGUUUCAAGGCUGAUACUUCUAGCCAGUAGCCAAGAUGAAACCCAUACCACUCUCUUGGCUUUCCACACUUCUUGCUUGAAUUCCAGAGAUUCAGCUUUCCAAUGCAGGCAUCUCCUUUUUUGGACAGGUGCAUAUUACCCAGGCACCGUCUCCAGCAGAGACUAAUUAGGCAGUUCUGUCAGUUUUGGUCCCUGUUACCUUUGGCUUCAUCACGGCGUUUGGUUUAAUAACUGUGUGCUUUGAACCAUUAUCUCCUAUUUAUGCUCACUGCUCCUGACUGCGCUCGGUAGCCAUGCUCCCAUUACCACAGCUCAGCUAUUCAGAUCUUAAAAAUUAGAGGUGUUUUGAAGGUGGGAAAAACACUUGCGGUUCCAGAUUUGUUCCUUCUACUCAGCAUGGGUGUUUUUCACAAGAAGGCAAAUACUGCAGUCCAUUUUGAAGAAAGAUAAAUAGCUGGCCACUGCCAGCACUGAGAAGAGACUUUAGGCUGGCUUCGUGCAGCGGUGACAGUUUCUCCUGCUUUGCAGACCUGAUUUAUCUAUUUUCCAGUCAUGCAACGGUGUCAGCAAACAGAAUCAAAUCCCUUUUUCCAUGAGUGUUUGAUACAAGCUUCAGACAUCCAUCACUGCACAGAACUCUGUGCAGUGAAAUUUCACCUCCUUCAGCAGUGGCCUCUGCUUUUCUUGACAGGCUGAGGCAAGGGAAGCACCAGAAUAGAGGGUGAACUCUAACGUGCUGUUUGCCUACCUGAAACUCAGCUUCUGAAAACUCAUUUAUUGCUAAUGUAUGGCUGAAGUGUUGAUUGAUAUCCCCUUGGGUCUCCCCUGCUUACAUCAAUAAUCUGCUCUUGCAAUCUGGGCAUGCAGGAGAGGUGGGCCCUUCCCCAGCCUGUGCUCACCAUGCAACAGGGUCUCUACACUGUGUACUGAGCACUUGAAUCAGACUGAACAUUGGUAAUGGAUCCGGUGUCUCUGUCUCCUUCCCAAACUGAGGAACAUUCAUCCGCUCUAUGCCAGCUCCUUACUGGCGUGAGAUCCCAGGUGUGAUCCUCCCAUUCUGUGCUCUGUGAAGGAAACCUCUCCAUGAAGGAUGAGUGGGAGCUGAUGCUCUACUGGGUCUCUUCCAUGUGGAAGAACGUGUCCCCUCAUGAAUAGGUCCCCCUGGCCUGUGGGGCCAGGAACUUGAAGUGUCAGCUGAGUGCAGCUUCAGUCUCUGUGUUGAAGGAGUUUGUGCAUCACCAAUGACCCAGGACAUUCUCAUGAGCUGCUGGCAGUUAGUCUUCCCAAAUGGUUUGAGUGGUGGUGACAGUAGGAAUGGGGUGCCCUUCCUUUGGUCUGACUGAGCUUGGGCACCUUAUUCCCUUAUUCCCUGCCUGGUACUCCUGGAGGGUUUGCAAGGCAGCUACAAAUAGUGCCCUGCCUUGCUGAGCUCUUCUGUUCUUCAUCUUGGUGGUCAAGUGCCACUGGGCUUUGAAACACUUUCCCUUCUCUUUUCCCUUCUCUAUCUUAGGGACAUGCAAAUGUGUACAUGCUAUUUCAGCCACAUCUCCUAAACAGCUUCAACUCCUGAAGAUGCCCCUUUCCUACGCAUUCCAGGCAAUAGAGGGAGCUGUGUCUCAGAUGCCACCAAUGGAGAAGUGCUAAGCUCAACCUUUGUGAGCUUACGCGGGAAACUGAAUUUCAUCAGUUUUCACAAGGUGCCUCACUGAUCUUUGUGGGAAUCCUCCAGCACUUGUACUAAUUCUGUUCUGAGAAAUUUGGCACUCUUACUUGAGAUAUUGGCUCAAUUUAUUUUCCAAAGUUUCUACCUUUCUCCGUGUUUCCAUCCUUGGGCCAUCGCUGAUUUUGGCAAGUGCUUCUCUUAUUGGUUCCAUCGUGGAUCCAGAGGCUAAAAUUACAUACUUCUGGAAAUUGUCUGUUGAUAUCAGAAGCAUUGCUUUGGUGUGAGACUUUAGCUGGUGCUCAGUAUGCCAUCAGACAGCCAGGAGUGAAAAUAGAUUAUUUCAAUUGGGAAUGGCAUUUUUUUAGGAAAAAAAAAAUACUAG
Molecule: long non-coding RNA, 4046 nt
Organism: Gallus gallus (chicken)
Lineage: Eukaryota; Metazoa; Chordata; Aves; Galliformes; Phasianidae
Exons: 2
Source: RefSeq, a predicted model, not a curated record